This 327-nucleotide ribosomal RNA is filed under the name uncultured bacterium. Its description in RNAcentral is "bacterial SSU rRNA". It matches the Rfam family "Bacterial small subunit ribosomal RNA", at positions 28 to 334 of the family's 1533-position model. The record is from RNAcentral.
GAUGAACGCUAGCGACAGGCUUAACACAUGCAAGUCGAACGGAGCUUGCUUGUCAGAUCCUUUCGGGGUGACGACUUGUAAGCUUAGUGGCGAACGGGUGAGUAACACGUGAGUAACCUGCCCCAGAGUGGGGGACAACAGUUGGAAACGACUGCUAAUACCGCAUAAGCCCACGGAACCGCAUGGUUCUGGGGGAAAAGGAGCAAUUCGCUCUGGGAUGGACUCGCGUCCGAUUAGCUGGAUGGUGAGGUAACGGCCCACCAUGGCGACGAUCGGUAGCCGGACUGAGGGGUUGAUCGGCCACAUUGGGACUGAGACACGGCCCAG